RNAcentral lists this ribosomal RNA (830 nucleotides) under Staphylococcus aureus. Its description in RNAcentral is "bacterial SSU rRNA". It matches the Rfam family "Bacterial small subunit ribosomal RNA", at positions 1 to 813 of the family's 1533-position model. Lineage: Bacteria; Bacillati; Bacillota; Bacilli; Caryophanales; Staphylococcaceae. The record is from RNAcentral.
UUUAUGGAGAGUUUGAUCCUGGCUCAGGAUGAACGCUGGCGGCGUGCCUAAUACAUGCAAGUCGAGCGAACGGACGAGAAGCUUGCUUUUCUGAUGUUAGCGGCGGACGGGUGAGUAACACGUGGAUAACCUACCUAUAAGACUGGGAUAACUUCGGGAAACCGGAGCUAAUACCGGAUAAUAUUUUGAACCGCAUGGUUCAAAAGUGAAAGACGGUCUUGCUGUCACUUAUAGAUGGAUCCGCGCUGCAUUAGCUAGUUGGUAAGGUAACGGCUUACCAAGGCAACGAUGCAUAGCCGACCUGAGAGGGUGAUCGGCCACACUGGAACUGAGACACGGUCCAGACUCCUACGGGAGGCAGCAGUAGGGAAUCUUCCGCAAUGGGCGAAAGCCUGACGGAGCAACGCCGCGUGAGUGAUGAAGGUCUUCGGAUCGUAAAACUCUGUUAUUAGGGAAGAACAUAUGUGUAAGUAACUGUGCACAUCUUGACGGUACCUAAUCAGAAAGCCACGGCUAACUACGUGCCAGCAGCCGCGGUAAUACGUAGGUGGCAAGCGUUAUCCGGAAUUAUUGGGCGUAAAGCGCGCGUAGGCGGUUUUUUAAGUCUGAUGUGAAAGCCCACGGCUCAACCGUGGAGGGUCAUUGGAAACUGGAAAACUUGAGUGCAGAAGAGGAAAGUGGAAUUCCAUGUGUAGCGGUGAAAUGCGCAGAGAUAUGGAGGAACACCAGUGGCGAAGGCGACUUUCUGGUCUGUAACUGACGCUGAUGUGCGAAAGCGUGGGGAUCAAACAGGAUUAGAUACCCUGGUAGUCCACGCCGUAAACGAUGAG